GGGCAUUUUAGUAAUUUCUAAGGGAGUGGAUAAGCUUGGGCCACAAAUAUCCUCUCCUUCUAGCAACUUCUUGGGAUUUCUAGCAGCUUCUUCUUCUUGUUCUCUUCCCUCUUACGUUUCUUCAAUUCCUCCAUGGAAGCUUGAUGUGAAGCUUUCAUAACUUUCUUUCUCUAGUUCUAAUUUUCAUAUCUUGGUGGCAUUUUGACUAGAACCCUUGUAUUCUUCCACUCUUUCACUUUAAAAUCCUUGAAAAUGAUGAAAAUCUUGUUUCCAUAAUCUCUCACUAGUUAGGUGUUUUAGGGAGAGAAAAAGGAAGUUUUAUUAAUAGCUUGAGCUUUUGGAAAGAAGUUCAAAGUUACAAAGCUAUCAAGGUGCUAACGAAGCCCCAUCACCCUAAUUGGAUCAUUAAGGGGAUUCAGAGUCGGCUAAAGGCUCAACGAAUAUUGAUUAAGAAACAGCUGGUAACUAGGAUGAGGUGUCCUCAUG
Non-coding RNA from Theobroma cacao (cacao), 486 nucleotides. The record is from RefSeq and is a predicted model, not a curated record. NCBI's taxonomy places the organism in Eukaryota, Viridiplantae, Streptophyta, Magnoliopsida, Malvales, Malvaceae.